This is a long non-coding RNA of Oncorhynchus tshawytscha (Chinook salmon), 846 nucleotides long. The record is from Ensembl. Lineage: Eukaryota; Metazoa; Chordata; Actinopteri; Salmoniformes; Salmonidae.
CACACCUGUCAGAGUUCAGACCAGGAGAAGAGAGCAGCGCACAGGGAGGAGGAGAAAGAGAAAUCUAGAGGAAAAGUGUCCAACUACAAUACCUCAACAAGGGGAAGCGGUUUGUGACAACGAAUGAAAGAGCAGAAUAGGACAAAGGGACAAACAAAAUAAGAGUGGAGGCCAGAGAGACAGUGACAGACUGAGCAGCUCGGUGACGUGAUGUCCCAUAUGGAACGACCAUAGUCAGAGCAGACAGGAGAAGCUGCCAGGCCCAUUAGAGCAGCUGCUCGUUAGAUGUCUGUCAAUCAAGGGGGAGGGGAAACACACCAGGCACACUGAUACUGGUUUACAUUUAGCGUGACGAACAGCAGGACGGCUCCUAUGUUUAGCUGCAGCUAGCUAGCGAAUCCUAGCUUUAAAUGCCUCCGGCGUCUGCCAUCUGUGCGCUCGCCACCGCCAUAUAUCUAAUUUAUGGCUGGACUGAAUGUGUAAUGUAGGCCUAUGUAUGCAUAAUAUAUCACGUGAUCAUAUGUCAGAGGUGUGUGUAGUAGCUGUUUUAAGUCUCGCUCCCAUCAGGUUUGACUGGGCUGAUGAAGAGCCCAGAUGUUUCUUAGACCUGGUUAAAAGAUCGAAAUGCAGGCAGAAUGCCAAUGUCUCAUUAGGCAAAUUUGAUUGGGUUUCUAAUUUAAAAUUCUGAAUGAGGCGCUUCCAUAUGUAUGAAUGUGUAGGAGGGCACGUGUGCGUGCGUUCAUUUGCAUAUGUAUAUAUUACAGUAGGUCCGUGUGUGCGCGCUUGUUUGUGUGUCUAUGUACCAUGUGUCUGUAAUACAUGUGCUUGUAUAAAUAAGGACCUGUC